UUGAACGCUGGCGGUAUGCUUAACACAUGCAAGUCGAACGGAAACGAUACUAGCUUGCUAGUAGGCGUCGAGUGGCGGACGGGUGAGUAACGCGUAGGAAUCUGCCUGAUAGUGGGGGAUAGCCCGAAGAAAUUCGGAUUAAUACCGCAUAAUCUAUUCGUAGUAAAGUGGGGGACUUUCGAGCCUCACGCUAUCAGAUGAGCCUGCGUAAGAUUAGCUUGUUGGUAGGGUAAAAGCCUACCAAGGCGACGAUCUUUAGCUGGUCUGAGAGGAUGAUCAGCCACAUCGGGACUGAGACACGGCCCGAACUCCUACGGGAGGCAGCAGUGGGGAAUAUUGGACAAUGGGGGCAACCCUGAUCCAGCAAUACCGCGUGUGUGAAGAAGGCCUGAGGGUUGUAAAGCACUUUCAAUUGUGAAGAAAAGUUAGCGGUUAAUAACCGUUAGCCUUGACGUUAACUUUAGAAGAAGCACCGGCUAACUCCGUGCCAGCAGCCGCGGUAAUACGGAGGGUGCAAGCGUUAAUCGGAAUUACUGGGCGUAAAGCGUGCGUAGGCGGUUUAUUAAGUCAGAUGUGAAAGCCCCGGGCUUAACCUGGGAACUGCAUUUGAAACUGGUCAACUAGAGUAUGGUAGAGGAAAGUGGAAUUUCUGGUGUAGCGGUGAAAUGCGUAGAUAUCAGAAAGGAACAUCAAUGGCGAAGGCAGCUUUCUGGACCAAUACUGACGCUGAGGUACGAAAGCGUGGGUAGCAAACAGGAUUAGAUACCCUGGUAGUCCACGCCGUAAACGAUGAUAACUAGCCGUUGGGGGGAUUUACCCUUUAGUGGCGAAGCUAACGCGUUAAGUUAUCCGCCUGGGGAGUACGGCCGCAAGGUUAAAACUCAAAGGAAUUGACGGGGACCCGCACAAGCGGUGGAGCAUGUGGUUUAAUUCGAUGCAACGCGAAGAACCUUACCUGGUCUUGACAUCCUGCGAACUUUCUAGAAAUAGAUUGGUGCCUUCGGGAACGCAGUGACAGGUGCUGCAUGGCUGUCGUCAGCUCGUGUCGUGAGAUGUUGGGUUAAGUCCCGUAACGAGCGCAACCCCUAUCCUUAUUUGCCAGCACAUCAUGGUGGGAACUAUAAGGAGACUGCCGGUGAUAAACCGGAGGAAGGCGGGGACGACGUCAAGUCAUCAUGGCCCUUACGACCAGGGCUACACACGUGCUACAAUGGGAAGGACAAAGAGCCGCGAAGCCGCGAGGUGUAGCUAAUCUCAUAAACCUUUUCGUAGUCCGGAUUGGAGUCUGCAACUCGACUCCAUGAAGUCGGAAUCGCUAGUAAUCGUAGAUCAGAAUGCUACGGUGAAUACGUUCCCGGGUCUUGUACACACCGCCCG
This 1377-nucleotide ribosomal RNA is filed under the name uncultured bacterium. RNAcentral describes it as "bacterial SSU rRNA". It matches the Rfam family "Bacterial small subunit ribosomal RNA", at positions 29 to 1396 of the family's 1533-position model. The record is from RNAcentral.